AGAAAUAGCAAAAAAAAAAAAAAAAAAAUGAAGUUAGGUAGACAGAGAAGGGAAAGCAGAAGGUCUCACUCUGCAAAAGUGUUCAGAUCAGGUUAUUAUCAAAAAAAAAAAAAAAAAACAAAAAACUCUGAAAUAGUGUCCUCCCCAGAGAGCUGUCAUUACCAGCAGCCAGAUCCUCACUUCUCUGGAGGGUACCUGAUGGAGGAAGGGGUGGGAACCGUGUGGAGGAAGGCAAACACCUCCUCUGUCCCCCGUCCUCAACUUACCUCUGUAAUCAUCAAGAAAAGGAUCAGGGGCUGGCGUGGGGACUGACCCACAGGAAGCUGACAACAUCUGACCCCUCUGAACAUUUAACACGCAAAAACACUUCCCCAGUGGUUUAACAGAAUGAAACUCCAGGAAAAGAGAAUCACUCUCGUGGUUCAGAGUUAUUCAAGCAGUGUUGCGGGAUUGCAAGAUAAUGCAGUAAUGCUCAUUUUUAGGGUGAAACGUCUAGGAAAUAAACAUAGGCAGCGUCGUCUAAGUGAAUGCAAAGGUAAUACACACCGCAUCUCCCACUACUCUCUUUGCCCCUCUAUUCAGGAGAUACUGUUGUUACUUGAGUCUGGCUCAGUCCAGGAUAGAGGCACACAUUCAUGUGGCAGUUGGGAAUGUAACUGUAACAUUUUAUUUUAUUUUAUUUUAUUUUAUUUUUAUUUUUUGGCCACGCCCACCACAUGGCACAAUUCCAGGGCCAGGGAUUGAACCCGCAUCACAGCAGCGACCCGAGCCACAGCAGUGAAUAACACCAUAACCGCUAAGCCACCAGGGAACCCCCUUACUGUGUCAUUUGAAUAUGCUGCUCCCUUUCACUUGACAGUGAGUUUCACUGAGGACCAUCUUGGAAGCACCGCUGGGCUGCUAAAUAAAUAACACCCUGGGCCGGCAGAACCUAUAGACAGUGGGUCCCAGAAGCUCAUAAAUCCACUCCCCCAGGGGCACAGCCCUGCAGUCUCUCCAUCUUUAUUUCUGACUGACCCAGAUGAGGCGUCACCUGAGUGGCUGUUUCAUCUGAUUUGAAGUUAUGUCACCCUAAAGCAGGGAGAAUUUCCUCACAGUCAGCCUCUCAUUUUUAAUCAGAGCUGCGGCAGGAAAGCCUGUCGGCACAGCUCAAAGAAGGGCGCCUGGUCCUGUGAUGAAGCAGAUGGAGAGAUGAAGGCAGGUCUGCAAGAGGGCAUCUGAUGGGCUGCCCUGGCGCCCAGGGAGGGGCUCUGUUGAGUCUCCUCCUUCCCACCCACCCUGCUGCAUCUUUUGCACUUCAAGCAUCCCUGAGACUCUUGCUGGGGUCAAGCCGGCCCUCGGCUCGGGGUCCUGGAGCUCUUAUCUCUGGGGCAGAUGGGGCAGAUGGGGCAAAGACACCACCGUGGAGGGGGGAUCAGAACAGACAGAACAUGGUACCAUCUCCAGCCAGACCAGGGGGCUCGAUGCCAAGAAACUAGAGAAGAGGUAACUGGGUGAGAAGGAGGAAGAGAAAGAGAGUGAGAGGGAUGGAGGAAGAGGGACAUAGAGGGAGAGGGGAAAUUAAAAACAGACCCUGGACUGAAGGGUUCCUGCAGCCUUCAGGGAGAGCGCUAAUGGGGAAAAUAGUGCAGGAAAGCGCAGCUGAGCCAUGUUAGGCAGCCCUGCUCCCCUGAGAUGCCCCUGCUUCAGCCUGUGACCACACACACACACACACACACACGCGCGCGCGCACAGACAUAGAGACAUGCACAUGCACACACACACAGGCAUGAUCACGGGGCAGAGGAGCCUUUAUAUGCCCGGGAGGGUUUUAACUGGCUGGUUGUCCAGCAGAAAGGGAGAGUAUGAACAUGAGUCUGGUGAGACUUUGGGCUCUGACCUUGGCUGACUCCCAUUGGGCAUCUCAAGAUCAUCUCAGGAGCCUCCAGGAAGGGAUGAAGCAUGCAGGGGCUUUAUUAAGGAAAUUCCUGUGAACAGGGGGAGCUGGGGGGCUGGGAGGCAGAGGAGGUUGUGGGGAAGUGUCCUCCAGCUCAGCUGCAUCCUGGGGCAGGUUCUGCAGCACCAUCAGGGCAUCGCCGAGCCAAAGCCGGCCCCCAAGGGUGUCCCACGUCCCCUGGGGACAGGCCUGCCUUAGUGUUCCCACCAGUGUGGCCAUGGAUCCUGCCACCCCAUGGUCAGUGGGCGAGGUGGGUUGGGGGCCACAGGCCGAGUGUGUGGCCCCAGGGCCAAUGGAAGUAGACUGAGCCCCAGGGCAGAAGCAGUGACCUACUCCCUUCUGUACUGAUUUGAAACAGAAAAUCAACCAUUUGCUCAAGAAAGGGGUUCACUUAAAAGAUGUUAAUUAAAUUUACUCAAAUAAGCAAUUGCUGACAAGGUGUUUUUUUCCCUCUGAAUUCAGAGAGUUUCUCUGCACAGCCAGCUGGGCAGCACACAGGCCGCUGUUAACAGCACUGAGAGAUGCCAGGACUGUCAGCUGAAUCAGGGACAUUGGGCUUGGAGCUGCGGAGGCCUCUGUGGGUGGCGAGGGGGAGCUUUAAACAUCGCACAGGGUUGUAGCAUCAUUUUGUUUUAGGGUCUUCAGAAAUCAGGUUUGAGUGGUCUGGGGUUUCAGAUCAGUUGACCCUGUCUGAGGCUAGGGGUUGAAUUGGAGCUGUAGCUGCCCAUCUCUGCCACAGCAAUGCCAGAUCCGAGCCGCAUCUGCCACCUAUGCUGCAGCUCAUGGCGAUGCCGGUUCCUUUAACCCACUGAGAGAGACCAGGGAUCGAACCCACAUCCUCAUGGAUCCUAGUCAGGUUCUUAACCCGCUGAGCCAAGAUGAGGGAUAUUGAUGGAAACUUUGAGGUAUGAUCAAACCAACAGAUUAGGAGAUGACUGCCAUUGAAAACAUAGUUUGUUCCUCACAGUUCCCCAGAGAAGGGGCCAUGGCAGGCCUGGCAGGACCACAGGGGCAGCACCAGGUGGGUCUGCAGUCUGACAGUGAGGGAGGAUGGAUGGACGUAGCCUUGACUGUGGUCUCCAUGGGUAGGAACAGAAGAGGCAGGGUGACCAGGAUCAGGGUUGUCUAGUUUGGUUAGUUUCAGCAGGCUCUGGGGCAUGGCGGCUGUCCCUGGUCAUCGGGCCCUGGGUUCCAGAUUAGGGCAGGUAGGUAAUGGCCUGGAGGGUGAGAGCCACGUAAAGGAAGUGGCGUGCCUUGUGGGCUCUGGUUUGAUUGGUUUGCAUUUGAAAAGCUCACUCAUCAUUUACUAUUUAUCCCUCAUGUGUUGACUCUAAGUAUUGGGGGGACCCUGAGAGACACACUGUCCCUUUGGGGCCAGCCAGGCCCUAGAUGGCAGACCAUUAAAAUUGAGGAAGUCAAAGAUGUGACUUAUGCCCAACUCCAAGCUGAAAUUCAAGUGGUUUAUCAAGCAAGAUGAGUAAUGGCUGAGAGCUGCAUUUGUGUUCACAGAAACACAAAUUGUCAUGGGCAUUAAAACCGAGAAAUCACAGAACUUUAUUCUCCCAUGGAAUUUGGCAAACCUGGUGUUUAUCAGCCCGUGCUGGUCACUUGAGCAAGAGGCUCAGGCAGCUCAGCAAGCUUUGAGGGAGUGGGGACAGCGCAGGGUUGAGCUCCAGGGCACGGGGAGUGGGGAGCCAAAGAGAAAACAUUUUCCAGGUGGCCUCCGUGCAAGAAAGUAUACGCUGUGGGAAUAACAUUUCAGUUGCUGGAUGGGAUGAGAGUGUUGGGGAACUCCCCCUGUACUGUUAGCAUCGGUGAUGAAUGACCUGCUGGGGGAAGACGGUGGCAUUUACUUAGAAAGCGGGGAGGAUGGCUGAGCAUGGUCCCUACGGUAUAACCCCAUGUACACCGUGGUCCCUCUCUGCACACCUUUAACGGGUUAUGUGGCAAUUUGUUCUUGGCUCAUUACAGAAUGAAGGGAUUUUACAGUCUUAUAGCUCUUUCCCUCUUUUCUUAGAAAGAAUGGAACUUAUGGCUAAUUAGAGUCACGCGUGCAGGGAAUCCAAUGCACUGACUGCACACCUGGAGGGAAGGGACCCUUCCCUUCUUGCCGACAGCUUGCAGUGAUUCCAUUUCUUGCUCUGGUAGCUGCAUCGAGAGGUACCUCUUUCUCAGUGUUGCUGCUUGCUCUGGGGUACUUAGCACAUCCUUCCACAAAUGCUUUUUUUUUUUUUUUUGCUUUUUAGAGCUGCACCUGCAGCAUAUGGAAGGUCUCAGGCUAGGAAGCCAAUUGGAUCUACAGCUGUCAGCCUACACCGCAGCCACAGCAAUGCCAGAUCCAAGCCACAUCUGCGAGCUACACCACAGCUCAUGGCAACGCCAGCUCCUUAACCCACUGAGCAAGGCUAGGGAUCAAAUCCAGGUCCUCGUGGAUACUAGUCAGGUUCCUUACCACUGAGUCAUGAUGGGAACUUCCCACAGGUGCUUUUUACCCCUGGGUUGGAUUUUGCCAAAUGACUGUAAGAUGCUGCCCUCUCUGUUUUGGGGCAGCAGUCCAUAACAAAAAGAGAACGGGUUUUCCAAGCCAAACAAAUCAAGGUUUAUAUCUGGGCAGAGCUGCUUACCAGCUGGACACAUCUGGGCCAGUUCCUCACCUUCCCAGAACCCGACUGUCCUCUGUGACAGGAGCACCCACACCAGCUGCCUUGCAGCCUCUCUGGAGGUCAGAGCGUGCUGCUUGUGAAAGCCUGGCCGUGGGGCAGACUCGUUUUUCAUACUUUUAUAUAUUUCUACACCAAGCAACGUGAAAGUAUUUGAUUAAAAAAAGACAUCUAUUGUCACCAUUUAUUUUCCAUAUUAUAGCAGUGAGGACAAUUUCAAGGAUAAGUAUUUUACACGGAGCUCCAUCUGCCCACUAAAAAUGUUAGAAUCAAAAGCACGUGGGGGGAGCUCCUGUCGUGGUGCAGCAGAAAUGAAUCUGACUAGUAUUGGAGGUUGCGGGUUCAAUCCCAGGCCUUGCUCAGUGGGUUAAGGAUCCGGCAUUGCCGUGAGCUGUGGUGUAGGUCGCAGAUGUGGCUCAGACCUGGCCUUGCUGUGGCUGUGGUGUAGGCUGGCAGCUGUAGCUCCGAUUUGACCCCUAGCCUGGGAACCUCCAUAUGCC
This 5096-nucleotide long non-coding RNA is filed under the name Sus scrofa (pig). RNAcentral's name for it is "lncRNA (ENSSSCG00040049166.1)". Lineage: Eukaryota; Metazoa; Chordata; Mammalia; Artiodactyla; Suidae. The record is from RNAcentral.